RNAcentral lists this ribosomal RNA (528 nucleotides) under uncultured bacterium. RNAcentral's name for it is "bacterial SSU rRNA". It matches the Rfam family "Bacterial small subunit ribosomal RNA", at positions 524 to 1050 of the family's 1533-position model. The record is from RNAcentral.
UACGUAGGUGGCGAGCGUUGUCCGGAAUUACUGGGUGUAAAGGGCGUGUAGGCGGGGAGCCAAGUCAGAUGUGAAAUCCCGUGGCUUAACUGCGGAAUUGCAUCUGAAACUGGUUUUCUUGAGUAUCGGAGAGGAAAGCGGAAUUCCCAGUGUAGCGGUGAAAUGCGUAGAGAUUGGGAGGAACACCGGUGGCGAAGGCGGCUUUCUGGCCGAAGACUGACGCUGAGGCGCGAAAGCGUGGGUAGCGAACAGGAUUAGAUACCCUGGUAGUCCACGCCGUAAACGAUGGAUACUAGGUGUAGGAGGUAACGACCCCUUCUGUGCCGUAGUUAACACACUAAGUAUCCCACCUGGGGAGUACGGCCGCAAGGCUGAAACUCAAAGGAAUUGACGGGGGCCCGCACAAGCAGUGGAGUAUGUGGUUUAAUUCGAAGCAACGCGAAGAACCUUACCAGGGCUUGACAUCCCUCUGACGGGUAUAGAGAUAUACUGUCCUUUUGGGGCAGAGGAGACAGGUGGUGCAUGGUU